AAUUGGAGGGCAAGUCUGGUGCCAGCAGCCGCGGUAAUUCCAGCUCCAAUAGCGUAUAUUAAAGUUGUUGCAGUUAAAAAGCUCGUAGUUGAAUUUCGGGGUCAGUAGAUUGGUCGUGCCACUGGUAUGUACUGGUCUUACUGGCUCCUCCUUCCUGAUGAACCGUAAUGCCAUUAAUUUGGUGUUGCGGGGAGACUGGACUGUUACUUUGAAAAAAUUAGAGUGUUUAAAGCAGGCUAACGCUUGAAUACAUUAGCAUGGAAUAAUGAAAUAGGACGUUCGAUCCUAUUUUGUCGGUUUCUAAGAUUGACGUAAUGAUUAAUAGGGAUAGUUGGGGGCAUUAGUAUUCAAUUAUCAGAGGUGAAAUUCUUGGAUUUAUUGAAGACUAACUACUGCGAAAGCAUUUGCCAAGGAUGUUUUCAUUAAUCAAGAACGAAAGUUAGGGGAUCGAAGACGAUCAGAUACCGUCGUAGUCUUAACCAUAAACUAUGCCGACUAGGGAUCGGAUGAUGUUAAUUUUUUAAUGACUCAUUCGGCGCCUUACGGGAAACCAAAGUGU
This 559-nucleotide ribosomal RNA is filed under the name uncultured Glomus. RNAcentral describes it as "SSU rRNA". It matches the Rfam family "Eukaryotic small subunit ribosomal RNA", at positions 546 to 1106 of the family's 1831-position model. The record is from RNAcentral. Lineage: Eukaryota; Fungi; Glomeromycota; Glomeromycetes; Glomerales; Glomeraceae.